Xylariaceae sp. AK1471 is the source of this 100-nucleotide non-coding RNA. The record is from the annotation of a GenBank genome assembly. NCBI's taxonomy places the organism in Eukaryota, Fungi, Ascomycota, Sordariomycetes, Xylariales, Xylariaceae.
GCGGGGAUAGCUCAGUUGGGAGAGCGUCAGACUGAAGUUAAAACUUCAUUCACUUGAUUCAUCAAUCUGAAGGUCGUGUGUUCAAUCCACACUCACCGCA